GAUGAACGCUGGCGGCGCGCCUAACACAUGCAAGUCGAACGAUUAAAGCACCUUUUAGGUGUGUAUAAAGUGGCGAACGGCUGAGUAACACGUGGGCAACCUGCCCUCCUCUUGGGGAUAGCCUCGGGAAACCGAGGAUAAUACCCGAUACUUCACUUGAGCCGCAUGACUCAAGUGAGAAAGCUUUUGCGGAGAAGGAUGGGCCCGCGGCCUGUUAGCUUGUUGGUGGGGUAGAGGCCUACCAAGGCAAUGAUGGGUAGCUGGGUUGAGAGACCGACCAGCCAGAUUGGGACUGAGACACGGCCCAGACUCCUACGGGAGGCAGCAGUGGGGAAUCUUGCACAAUGGGCGAAAGCCUGAUGCAGCGACGCCGCGUGCGGGACGAAGGCCUUCGGGUUGUAAACCGCUUUCAGCAGGGACGAGGCGUAAGUGACGGUACCUGCGGAAGAAGCCCCGGCUAACUACGUGCCAGCAGCCGCGGUAAUACGUAGGGGGCAAGCGUUAUCCGGAUUCAUUGGGCGUAAAGCGCUCGUAGGCGGUCUGUUAGGUCGGGAGUUAAAUCCGGAGGCUCAACCUCCGUCCGCUCCCGAUACCGGCAGACUUGAGUUUGGUAGGGGAAGGUGGAAUUCCUAGUGUAGCGGUGGAAUGCGCAGAUAUUAGGAAGAACACCAGUGGCGAAGGCGGCCUUCUGGGCCAUAACUGACGCUGAGGAGCGAAAGCUAGGGGAGCAAACAGG
RNAcentral lists this ribosomal RNA (736 nucleotides) under uncultured Atopobium sp. RNAcentral's name for it is "bacterial SSU rRNA". It matches the Rfam family "Bacterial small subunit ribosomal RNA", at positions 28 to 776 of the family's 1533-position model. Lineage: Bacteria; Bacillati; Actinomycetota; Coriobacteriia; Coriobacteriales; Atopobiaceae. The record is from RNAcentral.